GACGAACGCUGGCGGCGUGCUUAACACAUGCAAGUCGAACGGAAAGGCCCUGCUUUUGUGGGGUGCUCGAGUGGCGAACGGGUGAGUAACACGUGAGUAACCUGCCCUUGACUUUGGGAUAACUUCAGGAAACUGGGGCUAAUACCGGAUAGGAGCUCCUGCUGCAUGGUGGGGGUUGGAAAGUUUCGGCGGUUGGGGAUGGACUCGCGGCUUAUCAGCUUGUUGGUGGGGUAGUGGCUUACCAAGGCUUUGACGGGUAGCCGGCCUGAGAGGGUGACCGGCCACAUUGGGGCUGAGAUACGGCCCAGAAUCCUACGGGAGGCAGCAGUGGGGAAUAUUGAACAAUGGGCGGAAGCCUGAUGCAGCAACGCCGCGUGCGGGAUGACGGCCUUCGGGUUGUAAACCGCUUUCGCCUGUGACGAAGAGUGAGUGACGGUAAUGGGUAAAGAAGCACCGGCUAACUACGUG
RNAcentral lists this ribosomal RNA (468 nucleotides) under uncultured bacterium. RNAcentral describes it as "partial 16S ribosomal RNA". It matches the Rfam family "Bacterial small subunit ribosomal RNA", at positions 28 to 507 of the family's 1533-position model. The record is from RNAcentral.